RNAcentral lists this long non-coding RNA (3670 nucleotides) under Brassica napus (rape). RNAcentral describes it as "long non-coding RNA (BNAP_LNC021523)". Lineage: Eukaryota; Viridiplantae; Streptophyta; Magnoliopsida; Brassicales; Brassicaceae. The record is from RNAcentral.
AGGAAGACAAAGUAUGUCGACUUGUAAAGUCACUUUAUGGGCUUAAACAAGCUCCUAAACAAUGGCACGAAAAAUUUGACAAUACAAUGAUGUCAAAUGGUUUCAAAAUAAAUGAAUGUGACAAAUGCAUAUACUACAAAACUACCAAAAAUGCGUAUGUUUUGCUAUGUCUAUAUGUAGAUGAUAUGCUCAUUAUUGGAAGCAAUAAAGACAUUAUCAAUCAAACAAAGAACAUGCUCAAAGGGACAUUUGAGAUGAAAGACUUGGGAUUAGUAGAUGUAAUUCUCGGGGUUAAAGUCACAAGAAAUUCAAACGGAAUUAUCUUAACCCAAUCUCAUUAUGCUCAAACAAUAUUAGAGAGAUUUAAAAAUUACUCUAAUAGUACGGCAAAAACUCCGUUAGAUCCCCAAAUGCACUUGACAAAGAAUUCAGGUGAAGCGGUUUCACAAAACGAGUAUGCACGUGUGAUCGGAAGUCUCAUGUACUUGACCAAUUGUACUAGACCAGAUCUGGCGCAUGCAGUAAACGUACUUAGUCGAUAUACAAGUAAUCCAGGUCAUACACACUGGAAAGCUAUAACGAGGGUACUCAAUUACUUGCGCUACACCAAAGAUUUUGGGCUUCACUAUGGUAAAGAACCAGCAGUUUUAGAAGGAUACAGUGAUGCUAACUGGAUAUCAGAUUCUAAAAACUCAAAAUCCACGAGUGGAUAUGUCUUUACACUAGGAGGAGCAGCAAUAUCAUGGAAAUCUACCAAACAAACAGUGUUAGCCAGAUCUACCAUGGAAUCUGAGUUCAUAGCCUUAGACAAAGCAGCAGAAGAAGCUGAAUGGCUUAGAAAUUUUUUGGAAGAUAUUCCUAUGUGGGAGAAACCUGUGCCAGCUAUACGCAUACAUUGUGAUAGUCAAUCAGCAAUAGCUCGGGCUCAGAAUAAUCUCUACAAUGGUAAAUCUCGUCACAUCAGAAGACGACAUAAAACCAUUAGACAACUUAUCUCAACUGGUGUAAUCACAAUAGACUACAUCAAAUCGGCUGACAACCUAGCGGAUCCAUUUACUAAAGGUUUGCCACGAGAUGUUGUUGCUAAAUCAUCAAAAGGAAUGGGUUUAAAGCCUAUAACGAAUGAGGAUGCUUGAUGGCAACCCUACCUAUCAUGACUGGAGAUCCCAAGACGUAGGUUCAAAGGGAAAACAAAAUCAAACAGAAUCUAACCAAAGCACUUGAGACAAAGUAGUCUAUUCCCAGCUCCUAAGAUGAUAAAAGUGCUAACAAAUGUGUGAAGGAUAAGCAUAAGCUUUUAAUGAUUCCAUAGCUUCUAAGCGGGGUAUUACUCAAUACUUUUCAUGGUCAAUCACCUAAUGAGUGUGAAAUGGGGCCGUUUCUAGGAGAAUGAAUGCAAGGCUAUAUUCUCUAAGUUCACUCAUGAAAACCAGGAAUAGUUCAGGGCCACAAUGAACACAAUAGAGAACUAAGUUCUACGAGAAAAUGAAGCUGCGUUAUGCCUGUUGUCUCGGUUUACAUAAAACACCGGUUGGUUCAAGACAUCAUGUUCACCUUCUGGUAAAGUAAACCCGACAGAUAUUAACUAUGAGUGGUUCAAGGCUUAAAAAUGCCACCAACUCAAACACAGUGAAUUUUUCGUAAACACUCUCGAUAAGUCUGUCUAGUCUAGUCAUGAUUAGAAUAAGUAUAGUUUUUUUUAGAGUCUGCAUUUAGUCUGCAUAUGUUUAGAGUCAUUUCUAUUCAUGUGGGGGAUUGUUGGACCUAAAUUACUAAAGCCCAAUUGGCUAAAAUAAUAAAAGGUAAGUGUGAAGAGAAAUGGGAAACAUCCCACAUCGGUGGGAACAAGAGAAAAUGAGGUGUUUAUAUAUGGUCACUUGAUAUCAUGUGUUAAACAGCUUGGAGAGAGAGGAAGGCUCCCCACGCGUGCGCCGCCGCCGCCGUCCGGUCGGCUUGGCAGGGCUGGGCUGGGCUCGGCUCGGCGUGGGCGUGGGCGUGGGCGUGGGCUUGGGCUUGGGUGGAGGGCCUUUGGCCCGAUAAGAACUAUUCUUUUUGGACCAAGUUAAGCUCAACGUUCUGCCAAUUAAUUCCCGAAAAACGACAUGCAUUUUAUUUUAAACAACACGUAGUUCGUUUAAAAACAACACGCUGUCUCUCUUCUUGACGAUAAGUUUAAACAAGAAAAGAUCUUGCGGAGGAAGUUUCGUAACGCCUCGCCUCCGAGAUCCUCGCGAGAUUUCCGCCAACGUGCGCACGUGCGGCAUCAGUUACGGAAAGUGGCUCGUCUUCUCUUCUUUAUAAACUCGUCUCCUCCUUCAUUUCUCAAAAAGUUUUUACGCAACAAAAAAUCACCAAAUCCCUCAACGUAAGUCUAUAGAGUGUUUCGUAGAGGUUAUAGUUCGAUAGGGCGAUCACGAGUGAGGCGUGAUUCGUCUGCCAUGGUUGUAUCCUGGGACUCUAUAUUCGUACAGUCCUGUCUCACUAACGGAGCGAAUAUUUUGAGUUAAGGAAAGAGAUCAUAUCUCGCCUCCAUGUCUAUUUGCGAAUACGGUUUCUUAUCGUCCUCGUAUUCGUUUUUUUUUUCUAUAUUCAUCUAUUUCCUUAACUUCGCUUUUAUUAUAUCGUUUACAUCGGUCCGGUUUUCCGGCUUUUACAAAACCAACCGUUUGCUUUUUUUCUUCAUUAGUUAUUGACAUAUUUUAGAAUACCCUAGCUCAUAAAACAAUUAUAUUAACUCUCGAUUUCUCCAAAAUCAACGGUAAGGAAGAAGGAAAUGGAGAUAGUCGCAAUACAUUUGUCUAAUAAAUGGAGAUAGUCACAAUACAACAGUAAGGAAAUGAAAAUGGAGAUAGUCACAAUAAAAACAAUACCAUGUAUAUAUAUAUAUAUAGGGGUUGGUGCAUGUCUUAUCUCAAUUUCCAUGAAAAAUAGAAGUUUUGUUGGAUUAGCGCGCUUAGCAAAGUUUAAUACCUCAUUAAACUUAAGAGACCUAGUAACAUAAACAUGCUCUAACAAACACUUCGCUGCUAAAGUUUGUACUAGGUUUAUCUCCAAACCGUCUAUGUCUCCAAUAUUCAUUUACCAAAAAAAAAAACAUUAUAUCAUUAACACCAAAGUAUAUAUACUUUGAUAGUCUUAUUUAUUUUAUUCCAAACAAAAUACGUAUUUACAAAAAACAGUAUGAUAUACAAAUCUCAAAUCACCAGAAAUCUUAUAUUAUAUAAUUUCUGAUGGAGAUUGAAUUUUACAAAUUCCAAAUUACCUUAUCUUCCUGAAAAACUCAAGGAUCGGAGCAUUCUUAUGUUCCUUGUCAAACACUGAUGCCUCAUAUAUCUCUGACCAAUCUUCACUAUUCCUGACCCCGAUUUUAAAGUAGUCUCUUUGUCCCGUAUCCAUUUGCUCCCUUCCCUCGAGGAUUCUAAUGAACACCAGUUUAUUUUUUGAACGCCUGUUAUGCUCAUCGACCGCAAACUUGGCGAUGUUAACGAAGUAAUCACGAUCUAGAUUCCUAAUUCUCUUCCACCGACCCGGUGGCGCCUUUUCUCCUACAACGGAGAUGACAGGGAGGAGGAUGAGACAUAGACAAAUCAAAGCUUUCAACAUCUUUUCUUUGUUCUUGAACCUUUUUCUUUUCUGAUCUUAAAGGUAUCGUUGGUUUUGUAAGUUUUAU